AUACGUAGGUGGCGAGCGUUGUCCGGAUUUACUGGGUGUAAAGGGCGAGUAGGCGGGCUUGCAAGUCAGAUGUGAAAUACCGAGGCUCAACUUCGGGGCUGCAUUUGAAACUGCGAGUCUUGAGUGAUGGAGAGGCAGGCGGAAUUCCCAGUGUAGCGGUAAAAUGCAUAGAGAUCGGGAGGAACACCAGUGGCGAAGGCGGCCUGCUGGACAUUAACUGACGCUGAGGCGCGAAAGUGUGGGGAGCAAACAGGAUUAGAUACCCUGGUAGUCCACACCGUAAACGAUGGAUACUAGGUGUGGGGGGUUUGACCCCCUCCGUGCCGGAGUUAACACAAUAAGUAUCCCACCUGGGGAGUACGAUCGCAAGAUUGAAACUCAAAGGAAUUGGCGGGG
This 396-nucleotide ribosomal RNA is filed under the name uncultured bacterium. RNAcentral's name for it is "partial 16S ribosomal RNA". It matches the Rfam family "Bacterial small subunit ribosomal RNA", at positions 523 to 918 of the family's 1533-position model. The record is from RNAcentral.